UACGGGGGGAGCAAGCGUUAUCCGGAUUCACUGGGUUUAAAGGGAGCGUAGGCGGGCUUGUAAGUCAGUGGUGAAAUCUCCGGGCUUAACUCGGAAACUGCCAUUGAUACUAUAAGUCUUGAAUUAUCUGGAGGUAAGCGGAAUAUGUCAUGUAGCGGUGAAAUGCUUAGAUAUGACAUAGAACACCCAUUGCGAAGGCAGCUUACUACGGGUAUAUUGACGCUGAGGCUCGAAAGCGUGGGGAUCAAACAGG
RNAcentral lists this ribosomal RNA (253 nucleotides) under uncultured bacterium. Its description in RNAcentral is "partial 16S ribosomal RNA". It matches the Rfam family "Bacterial small subunit ribosomal RNA", at positions 524 to 776 of the family's 1533-position model. The record is from RNAcentral.